This 132-nucleotide small RNA is filed under the name Candidatus Thiodiazotropha endolucinida. Its description in RNAcentral is "RtT sRNA". It matches the Rfam family "RtT RNA". From Rfam's summary of the family: This family represents a bacterial cis-regulatory element known as RtT RNA. The exact function of RtT is unknown although it is thought that it may be involved in changing the cellular response in relation to amino acid starvation. Lineage: Bacteria; Pseudomonadati; Pseudomonadota; Gammaproteobacteria; Chromatiales; Sedimenticolaceae. The record is from RNAcentral. RNAcentral also lists the same sequence under 5 other names.
ACAGAAUCCUCUAGAUGGAGGAUGAGAAGCUCAACCGAGGUUCGACGACUGAGCAAAGCGAAGGCGAACAGCGAAUAGCUGGCCCCGAAGGGGUGAGGCCCGACGGGCCGAAUAAUCCUCCAUCCCCAGCCA